UAGUCCACGCCAUAAACGCUGAGUGCUGGGUGUUGGGGGUCAAACCUCGGUGCCGACGUUAACACAUUAAGCACUCCACCUGGGGAGUACGCACGCAAGUGUGAAACUCAAAGGAAUUGACGGGGACCCGCACAAGUAGCGGAGCAUGUGGUUUAAUUCGACGCAACGCGAAGAACCUUACCAAGGCUUGACAUCAUGAUGACCGGUCUAGAGAUAAGUUCCAAGGACUUCGGUCCACUGAAAA
Molecule: ribosomal RNA, 244 nt
Filed under: uncultured bacterium
Lineage: Bacteria
Description: partial 16S ribosomal RNA
Rfam family: Bacterial small subunit ribosomal RNA
Source: RNAcentral